UGGGGAAUUUUGCGCAAUGGGGGAAACCCUGACGCAGCAACGCCGCGUGAGUGAUGAAGGCUUUCGGGUCGUAAAGCUCUGUCAGAGGGGAAGAAACUCCCGUGGUCCAAUAGGCCGCGGGACUGACGGUACCCUCAAAGGAAGCACCGGCUAACUCCGUGCCAGCAGCCGCGGUAAUACGGAGGGUGCAAGCGUUGUUCGGAAUUAUUGGGCGUAAAGCGCGUGUAGGCGGUCCGUUAAGUCUGAUGUGAAAGCCCGGGGCUCAACCCCGGAAGUGCAUUGGAUACUGGCGGACUUGAGUACGGGAGAGGGAAGUGGAAUUCCGAGUGUAGGGGUGAAAUCCGUAGAUAUCGGAGGAACACCGGUGGCGAAGGCGGCUUCCUGGACCGAUACUGACGCUGAGACGCGAAAGCGUGGGGAGCAAACAGGAUUAGAUACCCUGGUAGUCCACGCCGUAAACGAUGGGUACUAGGUGUUGCGGGUAUUGACCCCUGCAGUGCCGAAGCUAACGCA
RNAcentral lists this ribosomal RNA (513 nucleotides) under uncultured Pelobacter sp. RNAcentral's name for it is "bacterial SSU rRNA". It matches the Rfam family "Bacterial small subunit ribosomal RNA", at positions 355 to 859 of the family's 1533-position model. Lineage: Bacteria; Pseudomonadati; Thermodesulfobacteriota; Desulfuromonadia; Desulfuromonadales; Desulfuromonadaceae. The record is from RNAcentral.